CCUACGGGGGGCUGCAGUGAGGAAUAUUGGUCAAUGGACGAGAGUCUGAACCAGCCAAGUAGCGUGAAGGCUGACUGCCCUAUGGGUUGUAAACUUCUUUUAUAUGGGAAUAAAAUGUUCCACGUGUGGGAUUUUGUAUGUACCAUAUGAAUAAGGAUCGGCUAACUCCGUGCCAGCAGCCGCGGUAAUACGGAGGAUCCGAGCGUUAUCCGGAUUUAUUGGGUUUAAAGGGAGCGUAGGUGGAUUGUUAAGUCAGUUGUGAAAGUUUGCGGCUCAACCGUAAAAUUGCAGUUGAAACUGGCAGUCUUGAGUACAGUAGAGGUGGGCGGAAUUCGGGGUGUAGCGGUGAAAUGCUUAGAUAUCACGAAGAACUCCGAUUGCGAAGGCAGUUCACUGGACUGCAACUGACACUGAGGCUCGAAAGUGUGGGUAUCAAACAGGAUUAGAUACCCGAGUAGUC
RNAcentral lists this ribosomal RNA (460 nucleotides) under uncultured bacterium. RNAcentral describes it as "partial 16S ribosomal RNA". It matches the Rfam family "Bacterial small subunit ribosomal RNA", at positions 338 to 795 of the family's 1533-position model. The record is from RNAcentral.